GACGAACGCUGGCGGCGUGCUUAACACAUGCAAGUCGAACGGAAAGGCCUUUUCGGCGGUACUCGAGUGGCGAACGGGUGAGUAACACGUGGGUGAUCUGCCCUGCACUCUGGGAUAAGCCUGGGAAACUGGGUCUAAUACCGGAUAGGACCGCACUUUAGUGUGUGUGGUGGAAAGUUUUUUCGGUGUAGGAUGAGCCCGCGGCCUAUCAGCUUGUUGGUGGGGUAAUGGCCUACCAAGGCGGCGACGGGUAGCCGGACUGAGAGGUUGGUCGGCCACAUUGGGACUGAGGUACGGCCCAGACUCCUACGGGAGGCAGCAGGGGGGAAUAUUGCACAAUGGGCGCCAGCCUGAUGCAGCGACGCCGCGGGGGGGAUGACGGCCUUGGGGUUGUAAACUCCUUUCGCCAGGGACGAAGCGUUUUGUGACGGUACCUGGAGAAGAAGCACCGGCUAACUACGUG
This 463-nucleotide ribosomal RNA is filed under the name uncultured bacterium. RNAcentral describes it as "partial 16S ribosomal RNA". It matches the Rfam family "Bacterial small subunit ribosomal RNA", at positions 28 to 507 of the family's 1533-position model. The record is from RNAcentral.